Molecule: long non-coding RNA, 405 nt
Organism: Nothoprocta perdicaria
Lineage: Eukaryota; Metazoa; Chordata; Aves; Tinamiformes; Tinamidae
Exons: 3
Source: RefSeq, a predicted model, not a curated record
CUGGCGGGGGGCGCCUGCAGCGUGGCGCCCUCUGCUCGGGAGUGCCGCAGCUUUUCCAAGGAGCCCCCGAGGAAUUCAUUGCUUGCCUCCRGUCAGAAUGGCCCUUGCUGCAAAGCUAGAGCACGUCCAGGGCAUGUGUGUACAUGAAACAGCACGACUGCAGAAAAUAACUAGCAGUGGUCUGUAACUUAAAGAGGAUCAAAACCAAGAGCUGAUUUGACCAGUGGGCUCUAAUAGAGAUUGUUCAGAAGAGMAUUCCCCCCACAUAUGAGAAGCUAGAAGAGUUUUGGUGAUCCAUAUGCUGAGUAAAAGGGAGAAGCUGUUCUUCAUUCUACCCAAAAUAUGUUGCUUUGAUAAACAUCAUAUGUCUGAGAAACAGUUGAAAGAAAAAGCAUCCACAACAAA